UACGUAGGGUGCAAGCGUUGUCCGGAAUUAUUGGGCGUAAAGAGCUCGUAGGCGGCCUGUCGCGUCGGCUGUGAAAACUCAGGGCUCAACCCUGAGCCUGCAGUCGAUACGGGGAGGCUAGAGUCCGGCAGGGGAGACUGGAAUUCCUGGUGUAGCGGUGGAAUGCGCAGAUAUCAGGAGGAACACCGGUGGCGAAGGCGGGUCUCUGGGCAGUAACUGACGCUGAGGAGCGAAAGCGUGGGGAGCGAACAGG
This 253-nucleotide ribosomal RNA is filed under the name uncultured bacterium. RNAcentral's name for it is "partial 16S ribosomal RNA". It matches the Rfam family "Bacterial small subunit ribosomal RNA", at positions 524 to 776 of the family's 1533-position model. The record is from RNAcentral.